Molecule: ribosomal RNA, 278 nt
Filed under: uncultured Synergistaceae bacterium
Lineage: Bacteria; Thermotogati; Synergistota; Synergistia; Synergistales; Synergistaceae
Description: partial 16S ribosomal RNA
Rfam family: Bacterial small subunit ribosomal RNA
Source: RNAcentral
UGCUGCCAGUUGCCAACGGGUAGAGCCGGGCACUCUGGCGGGACUGCCAUCGACAAGAUGGAGGAAGGUGGGGAUGACGUCAAGUCAUCAUGGCCCUUAUGUCCAGGGCGACACACGUGCUACAAUGGCCGGCACAGCGGGAAGCGAGGCAGUGAUGCCAAGCGGAUCCCUUAAAGCCGGUCUCAGUUCGGAUUGAAGUCUGCAACUCGACUUCAUGAAGCUGGAAUCGCUAGUAAUCGCAGAUCAGCCAAGCUGCGGUGAAUACGUUCCCGGGCCUU